RNAcentral lists this ribosomal RNA (253 nucleotides) under uncultured bacterium. RNAcentral describes it as "partial 16S ribosomal RNA". It matches the Rfam family "Bacterial small subunit ribosomal RNA", at positions 524 to 776 of the family's 1533-position model. The record is from RNAcentral.
UACAGAGGUGGCAAGCGUUGUUCGGAAUUACUGGGCGUAAAGGGCGCGUAGGCGGCCAACUAAGUCAGACGUGAAAUCCCUCGGCUUAACCGGGGAACUGCGUCUGAUACUGGAUGGCUGGAGGUUGGGAGAGGGAUGCGGAAUUCCAGGUGUAGCGGUGAAAUGCGUAGAUAUCUGGAGGAACACCGGUGGCGAAGGCGGCAUCCUGGACCAAUUCUGACGCUGAUGAGCGAAAGCCAGGGGAGCAAACGGG